CCUACGGGAGGCAGCAGUGGGGAAUCUUGCGCAAUGGGCGAAAGCCUGACGCAGCAACGCCGCGUGCGGGAUGAAGGCCUUCGGGUUGUAAACCGCUUUUAACAGGAACGAAAAUGACGGUACCUGUAGAAUAAGGUGCGGCCAACUACGUGCCAGCAGCCGCGGUGACACGUAGGCACCAAGCGUUGUCCGGAUUUAUUGGGCGUAAAGAGCUCGUAGGCGGUUCGAUAAGUCGGGUGUGAAAACUCUGGGCUUGACCCAGAGACGCCACUCGAUACUAUUGUGACUAGAGUUCGGUAGGGGAGCGGAGAAUUCCUAGUGUAGCGGUGAAAUGCGCAGAUAUUAGGAGGAACACCGGUGGCGAAGGCGCCGCUCUGGGCCGAAACUGACGCUGAGGAGCGAAAGCGUGGGUAGCAAACAGGAUUAGAUACCCUGGUAGUCCACGCCGUAAACGGUGGGCACUAGGUGUGGGCUCCAACCAACGGAGUCCGCGCCGUCGCUAACGCAUUAAGUGCCCCGCCGUCGGGAGGUACGGCCGCGAACGUAAACGUACAAUAGAUAGACGGCGUGAGACGUGCCGAACGGACGACGACGAGGGAGUAGG
Molecule: ribosomal RNA, 604 nt
Filed under: uncultured bacterium
Lineage: Bacteria
Description: bacterial SSU rRNA
Rfam family: Bacterial small subunit ribosomal RNA (bases 1-521)
Source: RNAcentral